RNAcentral lists this ribosomal RNA (484 nucleotides) under uncultured bacterium. RNAcentral describes it as "partial 16S ribosomal RNA". It matches the Rfam family "Bacterial small subunit ribosomal RNA", at positions 30 to 507 of the family's 1533-position model. The record is from RNAcentral.
AUUGAACGCUGGCGGAAUGCUUUACACAUGCAAGUCGAACGGCAGCACGGGGGCAGCCCUGGUGGCGAGUGGCGAACGGGUGAGUAAUACAUCGGAACGUGCCCGGUCGUGGGGGAUAACGUAGCGAAAGUUACGCUAAUACCGCAUACGAUCUGAGGAUGAAAGCGGGGGACCUUCGGGCCUCGCGCGAUCGGAGCGGCCGAUGUCAGAUUAGGUAGUUGGUGGGGUAAAGGCCUACCAAGCCGACGAUCCGUAGCUGGUCUGAGAGGACGACCAGCCACACUGGGACUGAGACACGGCCCAGACUCCUACGGGAGGCAGCAGUGGGGAAUUUUGGACAAUGGGCGCAAGCCUGAUCCAGCCAUUCCGCGUGCAGGACGAAGGCCUUCGGGUUGUAAACUGCUUUUGUACGGAACGAAAAGGCUCUGGCUAAUACCUGGGGCUCAUGACGGUACCGUAAGAAUAAGCACCGGCUAACUACGUG